GGCGGCGUGCUUAACACAUGCAAGUCGAGCGGUAAGGCCCUUCGGGGUACACGAGCGGCGAACGGGUGAGUAACACGUGGGUGAUCUGCCUCGCACUCUGGGAUAAGCCUGGGAAACUGGGUCUAAUACCGGAUAUGACCACCGGUCGCAUGGUUGGUGGUGGAAAGAUUUAUCGGUGCGAGAUGGGCCCGCGGCCUAUCAGCUUGUUGGUGGGGUAAUGGCCUACCAAGGCGACGACGGGUAGCCGGCCUGAGAGGGCGACCGGCCACACUGGGACUGAGACACGGCCCAGACUCCUACGGGAGGCAGCAGUGGGGAAUAUUGCACAAUGGGCGAAAGCCUGAUGCAGCGACGCCGCGUGAGGGAUGACGGCCUUCGGGUUGUAAACCUCUUUCGACAGGGACGAAGCGCAAGUGACGGUACCUGUAGAAGAAGCACCGGCCAACUACGUGCCAGCAGCCGCGGUAAUACGUAGGGUGCGAGCGUUGUCCGGAAUUACUGGGCGUAAAGAGCUUGUAGGCGGUUCGUCGCGUCGAUUGUGAAAACUUGCAGCUCAACUGCAAGCUUGCAGUCGAUACGGGCGGACUAGAGUACUUCAGGGGAGACUGGAAUUCCUGGUGUAGCGGUGAAAUGCGCAGAUAUCAGGAGGAACACCGGUGGCGAAGGCGGGUCUCUGGGAAGUAACUGACGCUGAGAAGCGAAAGCGUGGGUAGCGAACAGGAUUAGAUACCCUGGUAGUCCACGNCGUAAACGGUGGGUACUAGGUGUGGGUUUCCUUCCACGGGAUCCGUGCCGUAGCUAACGCAUUAAGUANCCCGCCUGGGGAGUACGGCCGC
RNAcentral lists this ribosomal RNA (836 nucleotides) under Nocardia sp. IM-2608. RNAcentral's name for it is "bacterial SSU rRNA". It matches the Rfam family "Bacterial small subunit ribosomal RNA", at positions 38 to 889 of the family's 1533-position model. Lineage: Bacteria; Bacillati; Actinomycetota; Actinomycetes; Mycobacteriales; Nocardiaceae. The record is from RNAcentral.